Molecule: small nucleolar RNA, 115 nt
Organism: Anarrhichthys ocellatus (wolf-eel)
Lineage: Eukaryota; Metazoa; Chordata; Actinopteri; Perciformes; Anarhichadidae
Product: small nucleolar RNA SNORA17
Exons: 1
Source: RefSeq, a predicted model, not a curated record
AAUGCCCGUUGAGAUGUUGCAGCCCAACUGAGUGUUGACGCUGUGUCAUCAGGUGGCAGAGAGAGACCGGUGGUAGUCUUCACUGAGGACUCGGAGUGAUGCUCUCACCGACAAC